GGGUUGUGAGGUUAAGCGACUAAGCGUACACGGUGGAUGCCCUGGCAGUCAGAGGCGAUGAAGGGCGUGCUAAUCUGCGAUAAGCGCCGGUAAGGUGAUAUGAACCGUUAUAACCGGCGAUACCCGAAUGGGGAAACCCAGUGUGACUCGUCACACUAUCAUUAACUGAAUCCAUAGGUUAAUGAGGCGAACCGGGGGAACUGAAACAUCUAAGUACCCCGAGGAAAAGAAAUCAACCGAGAUUCCCCCAGUAGCGGCGAGCGAACGGGGAGGAGCCCAGAGCCUGAAUCAGCAUGUGUGUUAGUGGAAGCGUCUGGAAAGGCGCGCGAUACAGGGUGACAGCCCCGUACACAAAAGCGCAUGUGCUGUGAGCUCGAUGAGUAGGGCGGGACACGUGGUAUCCUGUCUGAAUAUGGGGGGACCAUCCUCCAAGGCUAAAUACUCCUGACUGACCGAUAGUGAACCAGUACCGUGAGGGAAAGGCGAAAAGAACCCCGGCGAGGGGAGUGAAAAAGAACCUGAAACCGUGUACGUACAAGCAGUGGGAGCACCCUUUGGGGUGUGACUGCGUACCUUUUGUAUAAUGGGUCAGCGACUUAUAUUCUGUAGCAAGGUUAACCGUAUAGGGGAGCCGGAGGGAAACCGAGUCUUAACCGGGCGUUAAGUUGCAGGGUAUAGACCCGAAACCCGGUGAUCUAGCCAUGGGCAGGUUGAAGGUUGGGUAACACUAACUGGAGGACCGAACCGACUAAUGUUGAAAAAUUAGCGGAUGACCUGUGGCUGGGGGUGAAAGGCCAAUCAAACCGGGAGAUAGCUGGUUCUCCCCGAAAGCU
RNAcentral lists this ribosomal RNA (833 nucleotides) under Salmonella enterica. RNAcentral's name for it is "partial 23S ribosomal RNA". It matches the Rfam family "Bacterial large subunit ribosomal RNA", at positions 1 to 867 of the family's 2925-position model. Lineage: Bacteria; Pseudomonadati; Pseudomonadota; Gammaproteobacteria; Enterobacterales; Enterobacteriaceae. The record is from RNAcentral. RNAcentral also lists the same sequence under 1 other name.